This 406-nucleotide ribosomal RNA is filed under the name uncultured bacterium. RNAcentral's name for it is "partial 16S ribosomal RNA". It matches the Rfam family "Bacterial small subunit ribosomal RNA", at positions 30 to 526 of the family's 1533-position model. The record is from RNAcentral.
AUUGAACGCUGGCGGCAGGCCUAACACAUGCAAGUCGAACGAGUGGCGGACGGGUGAGUAAUGUCUGGGAAAAUGCAUGAUGGAGGGGGAUAAAUACUGGAAACGGUAGCGAAUACCGAAUACCAUCGGCUGUGCACAGAUGGGAUGAGCUAGUAGGUGGGGUAACGGCUCACCUAGGCGACGAUCCCUAGCUGGUCUGAGAGGAUGACCAGCCACACUGGAACUGAGACACGGUCCAGACUCCUACGGGAGGCAGCAGUGGGGAAUAUUGCGCAAUGGGCGCAAGCCUGAUGCAGCCAUGCCGCGUGUAUGAAGAAGGCCUUCGGGUUGUAAAGUACUUUCAGCGGGGAGGCGUUACCAGCAGAAGAAGCACCGGCUAACUCCGUGCCAGCAGCCGCGGUAAUUC